Molecule: long non-coding RNA, 873 nt
Organism: Octopus sinensis (East Asian common octopus)
Lineage: Eukaryota; Metazoa; Mollusca; Cephalopoda; Octopoda; Octopodidae
Exons: 3
Source: RefSeq, a predicted model, not a curated record
GUUUAUAUAGGUUGAUGAAGAUCUUUGAGGUCUUAAAUACGACGGUGUGAAGAGAGACAGACAGAGAGACAAGGAGAGGUAUUAACUGUAGCACACUGUGAAGUAAGAAGAGAAAAAGGACAGAGGGACACAGAGAAAGUGGCAGAGAGAGAGCGAGAGAGAGAGAAAGGGGAAAGAUAUUAUUGUCAUAUAACUGUGAAGAUAGAUAGGUAGAGAGUUUCAGACAGAGAGAGAUAGAGUGACAGACAGACAGACAAAGAGAAAGAGAGACAGACAGAGGAGAUACUAUUAUUGGGUGAAGAAAAUAGUUGUGGAAUUUCCAACAGUUUAUUCAGAGAAUUGGUUCCAAUCAUUCCAAGAGAAUUAAGAAAUGCAUGUGUUCAACGGAAUAUUCCUCUGGCUUCUGCUUGCCUCUUCUUUGUUAAUCUACUGUCAUAGCUACGUAUUUAUUGUGACUGUUCCAAAGUUAUCUCCAACACGUAAAGAACCGCCCUCUUGUACCCUGUAUUUGAAGAAAUGUCACCCAGAUCGAGAUACUUGCUGUCCUGGACUCCAAUGCACCAAUAUUCUCUACAGUUAUUGUCUCUAUCCCUUCGAGACCUGUUACUGUAUGACCAAAUCUUACUACUAUACGGAAAAUAAAUAAUACUGCCAUUCUCACAUUUCAACCAAUCCGUUCCGUUUCUAAUGCCAAGGAUCAAAGCACCUUCCUUCUUCUUCUUCUUCUUCUUCUUUUCUUUCUUCCUUCACCAUGUGAAGCCCAGACUAUUCCUUUCGAGUGUCAUUCCUGUCUGACAUUUCUAGAAAGUCUGCGAAAUAAUGUUGUAAGUUUUGAAAUCAAAUAAAAUGGCUUCGGUUAUCGUUAUUGCAGCA